RNAcentral lists this ribosomal RNA (253 nucleotides) under uncultured bacterium. RNAcentral describes it as "partial 16S ribosomal RNA". It matches the Rfam family "Bacterial small subunit ribosomal RNA", at positions 524 to 776 of the family's 1533-position model. The record is from RNAcentral.
GACGAACCGUGCAAACGUUGUUCGGAAUCACUGGGCUUAAAGGGCGCGUAGGCGGGUUGCCAAGUCCGGGGUGAAAGCCCCCAGCUCAACUGGGGAAGUGCCUUGGAUACUGGUAAUCUUGAGGGAGGUAGGGGCAUGCGGAACUUCCGGUGGAGCGGUGAAAUGCGUAGAUAUCGGAAGGAACGCCGGUGGCGAAAGCGGCGUGCUGGACCUCUUCUGACGCUGAGGCGCGAAAGCUAGGGGAGCAAACGGG